This 292-nucleotide ribosomal RNA is filed under the name uncultured bacterium. RNAcentral's name for it is "partial 16S ribosomal RNA". It matches the Rfam family "Bacterial small subunit ribosomal RNA", at positions 505 to 796 of the family's 1533-position model. The record is from RNAcentral.
GUGCCAGCCGCCGCGGUAAGACGAACCGUGCAAACGUUGUUCGGAAUCACUGGGCUUAAAGGGCGCGUAGGCGGGCAAGCAAGUCCGGGGUGAAAUCUUUCGGCUUAACCGGAAAAGUGCCUUGGAUACUGCUUGUCUUGAGGGAGGUAGGGGCAUGCGGAACUUCUGGUGGAGCGGUGAAAUGCGUUGAUAUCAGAAGGAACGCCGGUGGCGAAAGCGGCGUGCUGGACCUCUUCUGACGCUGAUGCGCGAAAGCUAGGGGAGCAAACGGGAUUAGAUACCCCAGUAGUCC